ACCUGCCCACUGAAACAUUUUAAUGGCCGCAGUAAUUUGACUGUGCAAAGGUAGCAUAAUCAUUAGUUUUUUAAUUAAAAGCUUGUAUGAAGGGUUGGACGAGAUAAAAUCUGUCUUUAUUUAAAUAAUAUUAAAAUUUAAUUUUUAAGUUAAAAAGCUUAAAUUUUUAUAAAAGACGAGAAGACCCUAUAGAUCUUUAUAUUAUUAUUUAUAAUUUUAAUUAAGAAUAUUUAAUUUUUUAUAAGUAGUUUUAUUUUAUUGGGGUAAUAAAAAGAUUAAAAUAAUUCUUUUUGAUAUUUUCCAUUGAUUAAUGAAUUUAUGAUCCAAUAAUUUUGAUUAUAAGAUUAAGUUACCUUAGGGAUAACAGCGUAAUUUUUUUAGAGAGUUCAUAUCGAUAAAAAAGUUUGCGACCUCGAUGUUGGAUUAAAAAUUGUUUUAGGCGUAGAAGUUUAAAAAUUUGGUCUGUUCGACCAUUAAAUUUUU
RNAcentral lists this ribosomal RNA (483 nucleotides) under Papuadytes aff. simplex MB107. RNAcentral describes it as "partial 16S ribosomal RNA". It matches the Rfam family "Bacterial large subunit ribosomal RNA", at positions 1857 to 2597 of the family's 2925-position model. The record is from RNAcentral. Lineage: Eukaryota; Metazoa; Arthropoda; Insecta; Coleoptera; Dytiscidae.